UGCAGUCGGAGCGAACAGGACGAGGAAGCUUGCUUCUCUGAUGUUAGCGGCGGACGGGUGAGUAACACGUGGGUAACCUACCUAUAAGACUGGGAUAACUUCGGGAAACCGGAGCUAAUACCGGAUAAUAUUUUGAACCGCAUGGUUCAAAAGUGAAAGACGGUCUUGCUGUCACUUAUAGAUGGAUCCGCGCCGCAUUAGCUAGUUGGUAAGGUAACGGCUUACCAAGGCAACGAUGCGUAGCCGACCUGAGAGGGUGAUCGGCCACACUGGAACUGAGACACGGUCCAGACUCCUACGGGAGGCAGCAGUAGGGAAUCUUCCGCAAUGGGCGAAAGCCUGACGGAGCAACGCCGCGUGAGUGAUGAAGGUCUUCGGAUCGUAAAACUCUGUUAUUAGGGAAGAACAUAUGUGUAAGUAACUGUGCACGUCUUGACGGUACCUAAUCAGAAAGCCACGGCUAACUACGUGCCAGCAGCCGCGGUAAUACGUAGGUGGCAAGCGUUAUCCGGAAUUAUUGGGCGUAAAGCGCGCGUAGGCGGUUUUUUAAGUCUGAUGUGAAAGCCCACGGCUCAACCGUGGAGGGUCAUUGGAAACUGGAAAACUUGAGUGCAGAAGAGGAAAGUGGAAUUCCAUGUGUAGCGGUGAAAUGCGCAGAGAUAUGGAGGAACACCAGUGGCGAAGGCGACUUUCUGGUCUGUAACUGACGCUCAUGUGCGAAAGCGUGGGGAUCAAACAGGAUUAAAUACCCUGGUAGUCC
RNAcentral lists this ribosomal RNA (760 nucleotides) under Staphylococcus aureus. RNAcentral's name for it is "bacterial SSU rRNA". It matches the Rfam family "Bacterial small subunit ribosomal RNA", at positions 56 to 796 of the family's 1533-position model. Lineage: Bacteria; Bacillati; Bacillota; Bacilli; Caryophanales; Staphylococcaceae. The record is from RNAcentral.